UGGUUAUGCAGGCUUGUAGUCUCAGCUACUCAGGAGGCUGGGGUGGGAAGAUUGAGCCCAGGAGUUCAAAGCUGCAGUAAGUUGUGAUCAUACCACUGCACUCCAGCCUGUGUACCAGAACAAGGCCCUGUCUCCAGAAAAAAAAGUGAUGAUGUAGGACAUAAGGUGGAAGAGGAACUAUGAAGGGCCUUAUAUUCCAGGCUAAAAAUUAGGUGCUGACGUCAUAAGCCAAAGCAGGAGAGACCCAGACUCUGUGGACAGGCAGUGUGGACCUAGACUGCCUGGGUUUGAAGCCUCACUCUGCCAAUCACCAGGUGUCCCACCUUUUCCAAGUUACUUAACCUCAUCUCCAAGACAUGCCCAAUCACAAAGCCUACUUCAUAAAAUGGAGGGUUAAUUAAAUUAAUGUUCAUGAAGCCUUUAGUGGGUACGUGGUAAGCUCAAUGAUUAUUAGUUAAUAAUAUCCUUAUUAAACGUCCAGUAAGUCUUUUUUAAAUGUUAUUUUCUUUGAGAAAGGGUCUCACUCUGUCACCCAGGCUGGUUUGCAAUGGCACCAUCAUGGCUUACUGUAGCCUAGACCUCUUGGGCUCAAGCAAUUCUCCCAUCUCAGCCUCCCAAGUUGCUGGGACUGCAGGUGUAUGCCACCACACCUGGCUAAUUUUUGUAUUUUUGGUAGAGACAGGGUCCACCCACCUUGGCCUCCCAAAGUGCUAGAAUUACAGGUGUGAGCCACUGCACCCGACCCCAACAGAGUUUUGGGGUUUUUUGUUUUGUUUUUUUUUUUUUGAGACGGAGUCUCGCUCUG
Molecule: long non-coding RNA, 805 nt
Filed under: Homo sapiens (human)
Lineage: Eukaryota; Metazoa; Chordata; Mammalia; Primates; Hominidae
Description: HSALNT0321415
Source: RNAcentral